GAUGAACGCUGGCGGCGUGCUUAACACAUGCAAGUCGAACGGAAAGGCCCAAGCUUGCUUGGGUACUCGAGUGGCGAACGGGUGAGUAACACGUGGGUGAUCUGCCCUGCACUUCGGGAUAAGCCUGGGAAGCUGGGUCUAAUACCGGAUAGGACGAUGGUUUGGAUGCCAUUGUGGAAAGUUUUUUCGGUGUGGGAUGAGCUCGCGGCCUAUCAGCUUGUUGGUGGGGUAAUGGCCUACCAAGGCGUCGACGGGUAGCCGGCCUGAGAGGGUGUACGGCCACAUUGGGACUGAGAUACGGCCCAGACUCCUACGGGAGGCAGCAGUGGGGAAUAUUGCACAAUGGGCGCAAGCCUGAUGCAGCGACGCCGCGUGGGGGAUGACGGCCUUCGGGUUGUAAACUCCUUUCGCUAGGGACUAAGCGUUUUUGUGACGGUACCUGGAGAAGAAGCACCGGCUAACUACGUG
RNAcentral lists this ribosomal RNA (468 nucleotides) under uncultured bacterium. Its description in RNAcentral is "partial 16S ribosomal RNA". It matches the Rfam family "Bacterial small subunit ribosomal RNA", at positions 28 to 507 of the family's 1533-position model. The record is from RNAcentral.